AAACAUAUUCAUACUAAUGUUGGGUUAGGAUUUUUCUAUACCCAUAAUGAUGAUUAAUUAGAAAGUAGGCACUUAUUUGUUGAACUAUAUGGUGUUAUUCAUAUUCUUGGUUGAUGCUGAAAAAUCCUUGGGAGGUACGGUGCGGUUGGGCCGACAAAAAGUACAUAAAACAGGCAAAAGUUGUGUGCCAUGUCAUUCGGUACACUCUCGUGAUGUUAAUUUUCGGGAUAUUAUUAAGCAUUUCCCACCAUAUAAAUAUA
RNAcentral lists this long non-coding RNA (260 nucleotides) under Trifolium pratense (red clover). RNAcentral's name for it is "long non-coding RNA (TPRA_LNC003381)". Lineage: Eukaryota; Viridiplantae; Streptophyta; Magnoliopsida; Fabales; Fabaceae. The record is from RNAcentral.